Phyllostomus hastatus (greater spear-nosed bat) is the source of this 531-nucleotide long non-coding RNA. RefSeq lists it as uncharacterized. The transcript has 2 exons. The record is from RefSeq and is a predicted model, not a curated record. Lineage: Eukaryota; Metazoa; Chordata; Mammalia; Chiroptera; Phyllostomidae.
UAGCGGACCCCGUCUGCCGCAGUCAGGUCGCAGGCACGGCUUCCGCAUUCCGCAGCUGUUUUCCUCCGGUUCUCGCCCUCUGGCCGCUGCCCGGAUGCGUUAAUGUUCCCCCCCCCCACCCGGGGAGAAGACCAGAAGGGCAAAUGGAGGCCGGGGAUGGGGAAGACACGAGAGAACCAGCUCCGGCUUCAGUUCCAACGAGAGGAUCCCAAUCUCCGCGAACUUCGGCAACCCGGAAGGGCGAAAAAAAGCAGUUUCUGCCCUGAGACUGAAUGACAGGCGGAGGAGCCCAUCUCCAGAGCAGCGGGCACUGGAUAACCUGGGGCUCCUCGGGGGAGAUGGUGAUCGUAUUUCCCGAAGCCUUCUGGGGACUCCUCAGCAGCGUCAGUCCUCAUCUUCAAGGGACAUUUGAGAAAUGGUCAUAUCUCCACUCUUUCCUCUCUUUGGGAGAAACUACACCUGCCAACAUGGUGAUCUGUGACAUUUAGUCUCUAUAACUGCGAUAAAAAUGAGGUUUUUUUGUUGAAGCCA